Molecule: ribosomal RNA, 253 nt
Filed under: uncultured bacterium
Lineage: Bacteria
Description: partial 16S ribosomal RNA
Rfam family: Bacterial small subunit ribosomal RNA
Source: RNAcentral
UACGGAGGGGGCUAGCGUUGUUCGGAAUUACUGGGCGUAAAGCGCACGUAGGCGGCUUUGUAAGUUAGAGGUGAAAGCCCGGGGCUCAACUCCGGAAUUGCCUUUAAGACUGCAUCGCUAGAAUUGUGGAGAGGUGAGUGGAAUUCCGAGUGUAGAGGUGAAAUUCGUAGAUAUUCGGAAGAACACCAGUGGCGAAGGCGACUCACUGGACACAUAUUGACGCUGAGGUGCGAAAGCGUGGGGAGCAAACAGG